UAAUAUAAUAUCCUUUCUGCUAAAAGAAAGGGCCUCUAACAUUGGAUUUAUCAGGUAGUUCAGAGACGUCGUGCUCCGCACCUGUGCUGCUGUGUGUUCAGCGAGGCUUCAUUUCCACCCACCUGAAAGCAGCUCGAGAGUUCAUGUAACCUGUCCUGAGCUUCAUGAGAUCAGCUUAAACUGAUACUGCUGCUUUAUUAAAGAAAGUGUGAUCCAGA
Molecule: long non-coding RNA, 218 nt
Organism: Cyprinus carpio (common carp)
Lineage: Eukaryota; Metazoa; Chordata; Actinopteri; Cypriniformes; Cyprinidae
Exons: 2
Source: RefSeq, a predicted model, not a curated record